GACGUAGGGGGCGAGCGUUAUCCGGAUUUACUGGGCGUAAAGGGCGCGUAGGCGGACGAUUUCGCCACCAUUGAAAGGGCGCGGCUUAACCGCGCUUGGGUGGUGGGACGAGUGGUCUAGGGGCAAGCAGAGGAAGGUGGAAUUCCGGGUGGAGUGGUGAAAUGCGUAGAGAUCCGGAGGAACACCAGGGGCGAAGGCGGCCUUCUGGGCUUGACCCGACGCUGAGGCGCGAAAGCGUGGGGAGCGAACUGA
Molecule: ribosomal RNA, 252 nt
Filed under: uncultured bacterium
Lineage: Bacteria
Description: partial 16S ribosomal RNA
Rfam family: Bacterial small subunit ribosomal RNA
Source: RNAcentral